RNAcentral lists this unclassified non-coding RNA (485 nucleotides) under Hevea brasiliensis (rubber tree). The record is from RNAcentral. Lineage: Eukaryota; Viridiplantae; Streptophyta; Magnoliopsida; Malpighiales; Euphorbiaceae.
GGUGACUUUCUCUCACAAAUGGAUCAAAACGGCGUCGUUAGCUUCCGCCACCGUCAAUCUCCAUCCUCCGAUCGGUUUCUCGGCGUUUUCUCUCCGCCGCUGAGUGAUGCUGCUCUCGUCGGCGGGACAGAUGAACCAGUGGCCGAUGAUGAUGAGCUUAACGAAGAUGACGUGUUCUGGACUGGAAGAGCUUUGACUGAAUCUCAACUCCGUUCUACUUCUCCUUCACGGAAUAGUUUCCGGAAGCCUGAGAAGUUUGGUAUUCUCGCGGCAUUAGUGGAGGAUCAGCAGAAAACUAAUUUGCCUGUUGUCCGUCGGAAGCCUUCAAUCGCUUCUUCGCCAUCUAGUACGGAUUCGAUCUCGCAAUCGCCGAUUUCAUCUUCGCCUUCUACUGUGAUACCGUCUGCACGUGCUUUUCCUUUGAUUCCUAAGCCGCCAUCAGGUAUCAAUAAUUUUAGUCACUCAAAAUCCAUGCCGGCGAGGAA